RNAcentral lists this long non-coding RNA (886 nucleotides) under Canis lupus dingo (dingo). Its description in RNAcentral is "lncRNA (ENSCAFG00020002489.1)". The record is from RNAcentral. Lineage: Eukaryota; Metazoa; Chordata; Mammalia; Carnivora; Canidae.
GUAAUUUCUUGCCCUGGUGAUAGUAUUGAAAGUCCUAUCUCUGUAUUCCCAAAGUUAUAAAAUUACUUAUGUGAUUUAUCUGCCAGUUUAUAAUAUUUAUUUCUCUCACAUGCAUGAUGGAAUAUUUGUAAUCCUAUGACUUCUAUAUUUUAUUGCCUAACAAAUUAUCACUUCUUUUUUUUUAAUUCUUAAAAUAGUUUUUUUUUAAUUAGUAGACUUUAUUUUUUUAAGAGCAGUUUUAGCUUUUUGACAAAUUGAGCAGGACGUAGGUUCUAUUAUUAGUUUCUCUUAUUAAUAACAGCUUGCGCUCGUGGGAUACAUCUGUUACAAUUGAUGGAAGUCCAUUAUUUAUUUAGGCUUCACUGUAUACAGUUGAGUUUUGUUAACUGCAUAAUGUCAUCUAUCUACAAUUAUAGCUCAUACAGAUUAGUCUCAUUAUCCUAAAAAAUCCCUGGCCCUCCACCACCAAUAAUUUCUAUGCAGUUAACACCACUGGGUGGUGAGAACCCUCCCUACCCAUCUAUCUUUGGCCUUCAUGGAAAUGAAAUCACUUUAUUCCACUGGCCCUUUUUCCUUAUUUGUGUAUCUGUCUCCUGAUUUGCAAGGUCUCUGGAGAGUCAGCCUGUGGUCUCCUGAUAAGCUUCCGCAAGACAUGUGGUGAUCACGGCCCCCCUGCUUGGGACGGACUGCAAGGGAUCUAACAUGAAGAAGACUGAGCCCACGAAACAGACUGUGAGCGUUCCCACACCAGGACAUGGGCUAAGAUACACAGUUUUGGAGUGAGAUGGAAGGAGAAUGGUAUGAAGUGUCCAUUCUGUAGGGAAGUGUGUCCUAGAAGAAAAGCUCACCCUUUGGUCUCCUCUCUCAUCCUCUGGUAAUGAAAAGG